CUUUUUUACUCCAACACUUAUCAAACCAUCAGCAACCUCUUUGAGCCCUAAUUCUUUUAUAACUUUCUUGUUUUGUUCCACACGCAAGAGUCGUUGUCUUUCAUAUUCAGACAUGGGAAGUGGCGGUGGUGGAGGCAACUGCAAAAUUGAAAAAGUCAUGUCAAACAUGGUUGUGCAGCGUUAAAAUCCUCGAAUUAAACAUUUUCUAGUAAAUUAAUUAUAAAAAUAUAUAUUACUAAUUUACUUUUAUUUAGGUUUAUCUAAUUAAGAAACAGUCAGUGUGGCCGAAUAGCUCAAUACAAUCUUUGUGGAUUGUGGUAUUUCUUCUUUAAUUUUAUUAAGGUUUAUUUAAUUUAGAACUCUAAUACAUAAAAUUAGUUGUACCUGCUCAGCAAUCAUCUCAUCCUCUCCACUUUCUUGGUCGUCACUUGUAUUGCCUUCCAAUUGUAAUUUCCUUUUAACACUUCCUCUCUCCUGCUCAGCAUCUUUGGAUCGAGUAAUCCUUCUUCCUACGAUCUCAGGAGACCUCCC
RNAcentral lists this long non-coding RNA (531 nucleotides) under Daucus carota (carrot). RNAcentral's name for it is "long non-coding RNA (DCAR_LNC006210)". The record is from RNAcentral. Lineage: Eukaryota; Viridiplantae; Streptophyta; Magnoliopsida; Apiales; Apiaceae.